Molecule: small nuclear RNA, 300 nt
Filed under: Octodon degus (degu)
Lineage: Eukaryota; Metazoa; Chordata; Mammalia; Rodentia; Octodontidae
Description: 7SK RNA (ENSODEG00000024304.1)
Rfam family: 7SK RNA
About the family: 7SK was discovered as an abundant small nuclear RNA in the mid-70s but a possible function has only recently been suggested.
Source: RNAcentral
GAAGUUGCGAGGGCGACCUGGCUGCGACGUGUCACCCCAUUAAUCGCCAGGGAUGAUUCGUCUGACGGGUCUGGCUAGGCGGGUGUCCCCUUCCCUUACCGCUUCAGACGCGUCCCUCCGGAAGCUGCGCGCCAGCUCGGUCGACCAUCCCCAUGGAGGAGGAGCGUUUCCUCAGCUAGGGCUACGUGCCUACCUGCGCUUCUCUGCUACACCCUCCGAAGGCGCUCUCAAGUUAAUGGAAAAGGAGCUCUCUGAGGUCAGGGUCUCUUAUUUUAUUUUAGUACUGGAGGGUUGCACCUA